Molecule: long non-coding RNA, 894 nt
Filed under: Gallus gallus (chicken)
Lineage: Eukaryota; Metazoa; Chordata; Aves; Galliformes; Phasianidae
Source: RNAcentral
CGGCGGAUGCAGCCGCUUCUUCCCCGCACGCAGCAGCUCCCGGAGUUCCGCGUCCGCCGUUCCCCGGCCCCGCACCUCUACGGCUGCAGCGGCUCCGGCUCCCGGCGGCGGAAGGGCCGGGGGCUGAGCGGGGCCGCGUGCGGGGCGGGCUGCGGCUGUCCCAGGGCCGGGAGACGGCGCUUGGGCGGCACGGCGAAAGGUACAACGGCCGCCGCGGGGACGAGGACGGCGGGCACGAAGCCGCAGCGCAGCUGCGGGGCUUUGGGAGAGGCCGCGCCGCGGCCCGACGCCGGGUUGAGCCCCUGGGGCUCCCCCUCAGGGUCCCGGCCCCUCUGCAGCAGCUCCUGCAGCUUCUCCAGCUGCGUCCGAGAGACGUGGGAGCGCGCGCGGCUGCGGCAGAAGGACUCCAGGAAGGCAUCGAGGGGCACCUCGUGCGCCAGGAACCGCUGCAUCUGCGUCUCCGCCUCCGCUUCGGACGCGUCCAGCGCGGCUCGGAGCCGGCCCAGGGCGCGCUGCGGGCCGCACUCUUCCAGGUACGCCUCCAGGCGCCGCAGUUUGGCCCGGCACGCCUCGCGCACCUCGCGCAGCUCCUGGUAUUUGAUGGCCAGGGCCGCCUUCCCGUCCUCCAGCCGCGGCCGCAGCGCCAGGUUGUCCCGGGCCAGCGCGCUGUUGGCCGCCAGCCGCUCCUCCCGCUCCCGCUGCAGCGCCUGGAACUUCUUGCUGAGGCGGACGGCGCGCUGCAGCCGGGGCUCGUCCUGCAGCAGCGCCCGCAGCUGCCCCGUGCUCAGCGCCCCGAAGCAGCGCGGGGCCCCGGGGGGCGCCGGGGGCCGGGCCAUGGGCCGGGCACGGCCGGAGCCCCCCCCGCCGCCGCCGCCGCCAGCACCGGGAGCCGCA